UUUCCGUAGGUGAACCUGCGGAAGGAUCAUUAUUGUAUAACCGAGGUGCGAGGGCUGUCGCUGCCCCGAAAGGUCGUGCACGCCCGAGUGCCCUCACACACAUCCAUCUCACCCCUAUGUGCACCACCGCGUGGGUCCCCCUUUGGCUUGUUCGGAGGGGGGCUUACGUUUUCACACAAACUUUGUAUGCAGUGUAGAAUGUAUUUUUUGUUUUUGCGAUCACGCAAUCAAUACAACUUUCAACAACGGAUCUCUUGGCUCUC
RNAcentral lists this unclassified non-coding RNA (263 nucleotides) under plant metagenome. RNAcentral's name for it is "partial contains small subunit ribosomal RNA, internal transcribed spacer 1, and 5.8S ribosomal RNA". The record is from RNAcentral.